GCAACAGUAGCUCAUUUGGCGCUGGAUGUCUCCAGGGUUCCUGCUGUGGUCACCGCCGCCGCCAUUUGAGUGGCAGGCAACCGGUGUUUCUGCGCCCCUCCCUUCUCGCUCCGCCUCCUCCUCUUCUCGCCCCUCUUUCCCCCUCCUCCUGUCCUUCCUUCUUCUCUUCCACCCGCUGCUCCUCCUCCUUCUCUGAGCUCCGGACGUCCUGCAGCGGUCUGGGUAAGCCACUCCGCGCCUCCCCGCUUCAGAGUUGAUUCUUCAAUUUUAUGGAUAAAGACAACUCUCUUCAAGAAAAAAGCAUGUGGCAUAUGAGGAGGUCAGAGGACACGUUCUGAGAAUCAUUUAUCUCCUACUAUUUAGGUGCUGGUACUGAAAUCCAGGUGGACAGACUUGGUGGUA
Long non-coding RNA from Rattus rattus (black rat), 402 nucleotides. RefSeq lists it as uncharacterized. The transcript has 3 exons. Lineage: Eukaryota; Metazoa; Chordata; Mammalia; Rodentia; Muridae. The record is from RefSeq and is a predicted model, not a curated record.